Molecule: ribosomal RNA, 168 nt
Filed under: Leiophron uniformis
Lineage: Eukaryota; Metazoa; Arthropoda; Insecta; Hymenoptera; Braconidae
Also listed under: 1 other name
Description: 5.8S ribosomal RNA
Rfam family: 5.8S ribosomal RNA
About the family: 5.8S ribosomal RNA (5.8S rRNA) is a component of the large subunit of the eukaryotic ribosome.
Source: RNAcentral
UAUGAUUACCCUGAACGGUGGAUCACUUGGCUCGUGGGUCGAUGAAGAACGCAGCUAAUUGCGCGUCAACUUGUGAACUGCAGGACACAUGAACAUCGACAUUUUGAACGCACAUUGCGGUCCACGGAUCUAAUUCCCGGACCACACCUGGCUGAGGGUCGUUUAUAA